Molecule: ribosomal RNA, 479 nt
Filed under: uncultured bacterium
Lineage: Bacteria
Description: partial 16S ribosomal RNA
Rfam family: Bacterial small subunit ribosomal RNA
Source: RNAcentral
GAUGAACGCUAGCGGGGGGCCUAACACAUGCAAGCCGAGCGGUAUUGUUUCUUCGGAAAUGAGAGAGCGGCGUACGGGUGCGUAACACGUGUGCAACCUGCCUUUAUCUGGGGGAUAGCCUUUCGAAAGGAAGAUUAAUACUCCAUAAUAUAUUGAACGGCAUCGUUUAAUAUUGAAAGCUCCGGCGGAUAGAGAUGGGCACGCGCAAGAUUAGCUAGUUGGUGAGGUAACGGCUCACCAAGGCGAUGAUCUUUAGGGGGCCUGAGAGGGUGAUCCCCCACACUGGUACUGAGACACGGACCAGACUCCUACGGGAGGCAGCAGUGAGGAAUAUUGGUCAAUGGGUGCAAGCCUGAACCAGCCAUCCCGCGUGAAGGACGACUGCCCUAUGGGUUGUAAACUUCUUUUGUAUAGGGAUAAACCUACCCUCGAGAGGGUAGCUGAAGGUACUAUACGAAUAAGCACCGGCUAACUCCGUG